Long non-coding RNA from Pan paniscus (pygmy chimpanzee), 4169 nucleotides. The record is from Ensembl. Lineage: Eukaryota; Metazoa; Chordata; Mammalia; Primates; Hominidae.
UUGGAAUUGGUUUCUCGCUAAUCAUGGGUCUUUUUCCUUGGCCAGCUGAAUGUGAACCCCUUCCACAGUGGUGGUUCCUGCCUCUGUGUCUUCUCCACAGCACCCAGAUAAAAUACUUGCACAAUGUUUUUGGAGCAGUUAAAUGUUAGCACUGAUUAGAUGAUAGCAUAGCAUUUCUCAUAGAGAUCACCCAAAGCUUGGUAAAAUUGUUCUUCCUGGGCCUCACCUCUGUGCCUGUUGCUAUGCUGAGGCUUCAUCCUGUCAGGCAUUCGGACUCCCGAGGAGUCUUGAGCUUUGGGAUUUGGCUGGCUGUGCUGUCUCUCUCCGCCUCUAGGCCAGGUGGUACCUGCAUCCCCCAACUUAACGGGCCCAUCUAUCACCCCAUCUUGCAGUGUGGAGCCUCGAGUUCUCCAAAUGCCCGGAUCGCAGCUGUCACUGAGCAGUUGCAUCUGUUACACAGUAAAGGAGUCCUAGAGAAGUGCUGCCAAGGGGAACUCAUAAAAAAGCCGCUGCUGGAGACUCAGAUGUGCCCUGCUGAGCGAGGCAGUCUCCCCCUACUUACCGUGCUGCAGUGAGCCGCAGUCACCCGCGGGGGAGUUGAAGAAUAAGUUGAAUAUGGUUGAACAAGGUGGCAUCAUACUGCUCAGCCAUCUCUGGGGUUAACUGCAGAUGAGAUAAUUCCUGUAUAACUCCUGGAUCCUCUAGGGCAUUCUGCCACUGUAUCCACACUUCAUGGUACAAGGGCGAAUGGACAGAUCUCCAGCUUCCAAGUGAAACGUGAAGGCAACUCGACAAGGAUUUCUGUUAGGGCAAUAGUUUUGCUUCAUGAAGACUAGGAAGGCUUGAACUCAGGACAAUGGGUAUCUUGAAUUUACUCAGUUCCCAUCUCUUAAGUUAUUAAACAUUAUUUCCCACCUGUCUUGUGUAUUUUUGCUUGAUCCCUAUAAUAUGGGGGCAGGCAUAAUUUUGUAUAACCCCUGUAAGACGUGUGCCAGGUACAAUUGGCCCUAUUUCCUAUGUGGGGAAACUGAGACUCAGAGCAGAGAAGCGACUCUCCUAAGUCACACGUUGUAUUGCUGGCAGAGUCUCGGGUGGGAGUCCUGCCUCCUGAUUUCCAGGUACAUGCUGCUUUUGCUAGAACCAAUCUAUUAAAGAACCAAGACUCUUUAUUUGGAAUUAAUGAGGGAUUCCAAAAAUAGUGUUAGCAGUGCUUAACAAAUUUGGAAGAGCAAAGGAACUGAAGCCAGAGAAGACUGAGAUAGGGGAGCUGUUUCAUUGUAUCAAUUUCUAUUCACUUUAUUAAUAAUUGAUGCCACAUUUACUCAUUGUUAUAUAUUAAAAAUACUUGAUUUGCUACAAGGUAAAAAUGACCCAUUGACUUUGUCUCUCGACCUACGCUAACCCUAAAUGAGAAUCUCAUUGUGACCACGAUUUUGCAAAAUUGAUUAAAUGGAAAUAAAUGCAUUCAAGUGUCAAAGGCUGCAUUGGGAAUGGUUGCUAAUGAGCUUGACCUUUCAGAGCUUCCUGGCUGGGUGCACAGUAGGUGUUCAAUGAGUACUGAUGGAUGUCUUGACUGACUGAGAUUUCGGUUAGCCUUCCAUCCCUGGGAGCAUGGUGCUGUAAUGUGUUAGAUGGCAUCAUGUUCCAAAAAUGAAUCAAUCUAUAAAUUUGAAGACUAAUUUGGAAACAUUUUAACCUUACUAAACAGAAUAGUAUGAUAAAACCUAGGUACCCUACGCCAGCUUCAAAUCAAUAUUCUGCUAUUUUUGUUUACUUCCCUUAACACACAUCACCGCCUCCCCACCCCCAACACACACACACUUUUUUGUUUUUGAGACGGAGUCUCGCUCUGUCACCGAGGCUGGGGUGUAGUGGCGCCAUCUCGGCUCACUGCAAGCUCCGCCUCCUGGGUUCAUGCCAUUCUUCUGUCUCGGCCUCCCAGCCUCCAGAGUAGCUGGGACUUCAGGUGUCCUACUUUUUUUUUUUUUUUUUUUUGGCUGAAGUACCAUAAAGGAAAUUUCAAACAUUGUAUCAUUUACCUGUGAAUAAAUCUGUAUGUACCUCCAAUAGAUAGACUAAAAAAACACAACCUUAUCACCACAACACAAUUAGCCAUUGUUUCUUAAUAUCAUAGGAGGCCUCUUCCAUGCCGAAUGCUCCAUGUGUUCUUAAAGUCGUGUUCUUUUGAUGAGAUUCUUCACAUAAGAGUUUACAGUUACCACAUUGUGUUUGGUUAAUCCAUUUUUUAUCUACUAUAGUUUCUCCUCCCCUCUAUACAAAGAAUUAGGGCUAGAGGCUUGACUGGAUUCAAGUAUUUAAAUAAAAAAUAGUUUGUAAGGUGGGCACAGUGGCUCAUGCCUGUAAUCCCAGCACUUUGGGAGGCCAAGGCAGGUGGAUCGCCUGAGGUCAGGAGUUGAGACCAGCCUGGCCAAUAUGGUGAAACCCUGUCUCUAUUAAAAAUACAAAAAUUAGCCAGGUGUGGUGGCGUGCACCUGUAGUCCUGGCUACUCAAGACUGAGGCAGGAGAAUUGCUUGAACCUGGGAGGCAGAGGUUGCAGUGAGCUAAGAUCACACUAUUGCACUCCAGCCUGAGUGACAGAGUGAGACUCUGUCUCAAAAAACAAAAACAAAAUACUUUGUAAAUGAAGUUGCGCACUUUCUUUAACCUCAACAUUUUGAAAAUUGUUUCAUAAAUGUCUGUUUAUUCCAGGUCGUAAUCCUUGGAUAAAACUGAUAACAUGAGGAAUGAUUUUGAGAUAAUGACAUGAGACAUAGUCCUCUAUCACAUAUCAAGGGUCACACUCCUGGAAAUCACUACCAUUGAGUAAUGAGAGAAGACCACUGAGUAUCAGAAAUAACCACCAUCAAAUCUCAUGAGGGGUUUUAGGCCAGAGAGGAGACCCCAAUUCAGGACCUACUUUAUCUUGUUUUACACAGAAGUUUAAGAGCCUUCAGUUCAUUUUGACAACCUGUAGAAAAUAAGAAACAAUCAGCACUUUGGGAGGCCAAAGCAGGUGGAUCAUGGGGUCGAGAUGGAGACCAUCCUGGCCAACAUGGUGAAACACCAUCUCUACUAAAAAUACAAAAAUUAGCUGGGCAUGGAGGCGCACACCUGUAGCCUUAGCUAUUUGGGAGGCUGAGGCAGGAGAAUCACUUGAACCCGGGAGGUGGAGGAGGUUGCAGUGAGCCAAGAUUGUGCCACUGCACUCUAACCUGGUGCUAGAGUGAGACUCCGUCUCCCCACCUCCAAAAAAAAAAAAAAAAGAUGUCUGAAAACAUAAAAAUUGAUGGAUGACAGCUACAUGUUCAGGCAGAACACAGAAGAAAAUUGAGAAGCAAAGGCAAGAAAUAAGGCACAGAAUCCAGAAUAAGUUGAUAUGGAUGUCAAGAAUCUUCCUCUUUGUGAAUAUAACAUGCUUGUCUAGUUACUUGAUCUAAUUUGAUGAUUACAGCAACCUUAUGAGGUAGGUACUGUUAUGUUCUGUAUCUUUCAAGUAAAGAAACAUUAAUACGUGUUCCCAAAGUGGCUCAGCUGGGGAGAAAUCACAAGGAAUGUUGACCAAUUUCUCCAUGGUCAAGUACUCGUGGACACUGAGAGAAGAGUGGUUGAGACUCUUCAACUCCUGUCUAAGUAGGCGAGAAACCAUGUGGUCCAUUUUGAAAAGACUUACACAUGAAAUGGGAAAAAUAAAAAGCUUCUAAUUACUUUAAAUGGCUUCAAGUUUCUAGAAAACUUAUAUACACUGACGUACAGGUAUGAACAUUUCGAAGUUGGUACUCUUAAAACAUUUUACAAACCAGAAAGACGGAGGUGUUACUGCAGUAGUUAAAUUAAUGAAUUGGUUUAUCUUGAAGUAUUACCUGGAAACCCUUCAGUGAUAUUGAUGUUUCCCAUUCCCUCUGUUAGCCUGGACUUUUUCUAUGGCUUAUUUUUUUCUAUAGUUCUCUAGAUUUUUCUAUGAGGCACUUGACUGCCACAGCUAGGAAACUCUUAAGAAUCUAAUUUUCUGCCCUUCCUCCUCUGUAACUAAAGACUGGAUCAGUUAGGACUGGGUUUCACUAUCACAUCUUGUAGGUGACCAUGACUAUUCGAGAAAUGACCUCUUCAUUUGCCUGCUUCUACCAAAAAAAAAAAAUUGGAACCACUAGAUUGGAUAAAUUCUACAUGA